GCCAAAUGAUGUCACCUGGAUGGCACGAGCACUCUGUGCAAAGAUGACCUUCAUCUAUCACCCAGAGCUGAUGGCU
This 76-nucleotide small nucleolar RNA is filed under the name Crypturellus undulatus. RNAcentral describes it as "Small nucleolar RNA SNORD83". It matches the Rfam family "Small nucleolar RNA SNORD83". From Rfam's summary of the family: U83 (SNORD83) and U84 (SNORD84) are members of the C/D class of snoRNA which contain the C (UGAUGA) and D (CUGA) box motifs. They act as guanine methylation guides but lack complementarity to ribosomal RNA. RNAcentral also lists the same sequence under 1 other name. Lineage: Eukaryota; Metazoa; Chordata; Aves; Tinamiformes; Tinamidae. The record is from Rfam by way of RNAcentral.